GGUUUUCGGACCAAGAGACCGGCGCACGGGUGCGUAACGCGUAUGCAAUCUACCUUUUGCAGAGGAUAGCCCAGAGAAAUUUGGAUUAAUACUCAUAGUAUAGUACUUUGGCAUCAAGGAACUAUUAAAGUCACAACGGCAAAAGAUGAGCAUGCGUCCCAUUAGCUAGUUGGUAAGGUAACGGCUUACCAAGGCUACGAUGGGUAGGGGGUCCUGAGAGGGAGAUCCCCCACACUGGUACUGAGACACGGACCAGACUCCUACGGGAGGCAGCAGUGAGGAAUAUUGGACAAUGGGCGCAAGCCUGAUCCAGCCAUGCCGCGUGCAGGAUGACGGUCCUAUGGAUUGUAAACUGCUUUUAUACAGGAAGAAACACUCCGACGUGUCGGAGCUUGACGGUACUGUAAGAAUAAGGAUCGGCUAACUCCGUG
Molecule: ribosomal RNA, 431 nt
Filed under: uncultured bacterium
Lineage: Bacteria
Description: bacterial SSU rRNA
Rfam family: Bacterial small subunit ribosomal RNA
Source: RNAcentral